AACAGGGAUUGCCUCAGUAACGGCGAGUGAAGCGGCAACAGCUCAAAUUUGAAAUCUGGCCCCAGGCCCGAGUUGUAAUUUGCAGAGGAUGCUUUUGGUGCGGUGCCUUCCAAGUUCCCUAGAACGGGACGCCAGAGAGGGUGAGAGCCCCGUACAGUUGGACACCAAGCCUUUGUAAAGCUCCUUCGACGAGUCGAGUAGUUUGGGAAUGCUGCUCAAAAUGGGAGGUAUAUUUCUUCUAAAGCUAAAUACCGGCCAGAGACCGAUAGCGCACAAGUAGAGUGAUCGAAAGAUGAAAAGCACUUUGAAAAGAGGGUUAAACAGCACGUGAAAUUGUUAAAAGGGAAGCGCUUGUGACCAGACUUGCGUCCGGUGAAUCACCCAGCUCUCGCGGCUGGGGCACUUCGCCGGCUCAGGCCAGCAUCAGCUCGCUGUCGGGGACAAAAGCUUCAGGAACGUAGCUCUCUUCGGGGAGUGUUAUAGCCUGUUGCACAAUACCCUUCGGCGGGCUGAGGUACGCGCUCCGCAAGGAUGCUGGCAUAAUGGUCAUCAGCGACCGCUC
This 562-nucleotide ribosomal RNA is filed under the name Colletotrichum gloeosporioides. RNAcentral's name for it is "eukaryotic LSU rRNA". It matches the Rfam family "Eukaryotic large subunit ribosomal RNA", at positions 67 to 653 of the family's 3401-position model. Lineage: Eukaryota; Fungi; Ascomycota; Sordariomycetes; Glomerellales; Glomerellaceae. The record is from RNAcentral.